ACGUAGGUCACAAGCGUUGUCCGGAAUUACUGGGUGUAAAGGGAGCGCAGGCGGGAGAACAAGUUGGAUGUGAAAUCCAUGGGCUCAACCCAUGAACUGCUUUCAAAACUGUUUUUCUUGAGUAGUGCAGAGGUAGGCGGAAUUCCCGGUGUAGCGGUGGAAUGCGUAGAUAUCGGGAGGAACACCAGUGGCGAAGGCGGCCUACUGGGCACCAACUGACGCUGAGACUCGAAAGUGUGGGUAGCAAACAG
This 251-nucleotide ribosomal RNA is filed under the name uncultured bacterium. RNAcentral's name for it is "partial 16S ribosomal RNA". It matches the Rfam family "Bacterial small subunit ribosomal RNA", at positions 525 to 775 of the family's 1533-position model. The record is from RNAcentral.